This is a long non-coding RNA of Pongo pygmaeus (Bornean orangutan), 2906 nucleotides long. RefSeq lists it as uncharacterized. Lineage: Eukaryota; Metazoa; Chordata; Mammalia; Primates; Hominidae. The record is from RefSeq and is a predicted model, not a curated record. The transcript is spliced from 3 exons.
AGAGGCGGAAAACCCGGGCUGGAUUUCUGGUUGCUUUUGUUCCCGCAAAUUUGCGUGGAGCAUUGUUUUUGGGCGAAAACGGGGCGUUCGGCCUUCCUGCUUUAUUCCUGAGCGGUGUAAGAGGGAGGUAGUGGGUAUCUUCGAGAAACGGCCGCCGCGGGGUCCGGAGUCCCGGGUUCCAAUCCCGGAUCAGCCACUGCUAAGCUGUGUGACCUUGGGCGAGUCACUUGGCCUCUCUGAGCCCCAGGCGCCUCCCCGGGAAAAUGAGAGUAAUAAUAACCGCCCGCGGGGUUUGUGCGAAGGUGUUGAGCUCACAGAGGGCCGGCACCGGCACUUUUGAGGCGGCUGACUUGCCCUGGGGGUGUGAUGGGAGGUGCAAGCUUUCUCCAAAAACUUCGUCCAAAUGGAGCCUUUAAAUCCGCCUUCUUUCCGCGGCUACUUCACCAGUUCGCCAAACCGAGAAAAUGCAAACACAGGGGCGGGGGCAAGGGAGCUGACCUGGCUGGAAGUAAACAGAAACGCCACCCUCCCCUGGCACUUGCAUUGGCACCGGAUUGCAGGUGGGGGAAGGGCCGGUGCACCCAACCACGUUUAAAUCCCACCACUUACACACAGGCAAAGAAGCAGAGCCACCGGGGCUGGACGCUCAUUCCUCCUCUGCCCUUCCCCUAGAGCGCUGCUUUGAAUGUCUGUUGAUCUAGAACGGGGUCUGUUCAUUCAUGGGUUCCAGGUCCCAAGCGCCCGGGGGCAGCUGAGAGCAAAGCUGGCGCCCUCCCUACACCGUGGAGCUCACACUCUGGUUCUGGGCAGUGCACACUAGAGAUUGGUUGAAUCAAUGAAUGAACUUUUUCAGGAUAUGGUCCAAGGUGCUGAAAACUUCCUAACAAAACUCUUCAGCCGAAUCUGGCACACCUGUGGUUCCAGCUACUGGGUAGACCGAGGCAGGAGGAUCGCUUGAGGCCAAGAGUUCAAGGCCAACCUGGGCAACAUGAUACAGAAAUGAACACAUAGAGACUUCGGGGGAAAGGAGACUAUGUGCAAGGAUGGCAGAGAUUGGAGCUGAGGAGUGCCUGGGCCUACCAGAGGCUGCAAGAGACAGGGAGGACCCUCCCCUAGAGCCUCCAGAGGGAACAGAGCCCUGCCCACACCUUGACUUUGGACUCCUGGCCUCCAGAACUGUGAGAAGACCUAGGACCCCACGAGAGGAGGGAUCUAGAGGCCAGGCCAGGAGCAGGACAACACAAACAGAGGCCUCAGAAGAAGACUCAGAGUGGAACAGGGGUUCCUUAAGUGAUCGGGGCUGGAAGUGCACAGAGAAGCCUGGCGCAGCAGGGAAUUUUCUCUCCCUGGGGUGCUGCCAAGGUGUGUGUGGUCUCCAGCUGCGACAUGUGCUUCCUUCCCUUGGCCUGAGUCCUGCUUUCCUGUGAUUGAGAAGGUUUGGGACCUGACACCCUGAGCAUGGAGGCCAUAAAUCCAGUGGAUCCCUAAACUUCCUGAUGGGGUCCUGGCUCCAGGCCUCGGUUCCUGACAGCCUCGUGUAAUUGACAAAACCCCAUGGGGCUGUUUCUGAUACUGCUAUCAAAAUUCCCAUCAUACAGAUACUGAAUGGUCAAGGGCUUUGGCCCAGGCCACACAGUUAGUUCAUGUUGGAAUUGGAUUCUGCCCUAAGUCAAUUGUCCAUAGACUCUGCCCCUCCCAGGAGGAAACCACAAAUGUGACAUAUUGUUUAUUUGCUAUUUUUGCAAAGGUGUCUGUUGCUUGCCGGCUUUUCCAGCCAUGACUGCAGACAAAGUCCACCUAGAGUCAUAAAUGGGCAAUCAGCCCCGAACAACGUCCAGCCCCGGUUUCUGCACAGCGAGGUGUUUUUGUCCAUGGCAGACCUGCUUACCCAGGUGUCUUUGGUGUGGGGCUAGAUGCAGCAUUUCCCCAGUGGGAAUGGCCUGGGGUCUUAUUUAAAGUGGAGGGUCCUAGGCCUGGCCCCACGUAUGGAGUCAGGAUCCCUAGGGGUAGGACCUUGGAAUCCGCAUUUUUUUUUUGAGACAGGGUCUCUGUCACCCAGGCAGUGGCACGAUCUCAGCUCUCUGAAACCUCCACCUCCUGAUUCAAGCGAUUCUCCUGCCUCGGCCUCCCGAGUAGCUGGUGUUACAGGCACACACCACCAUGCCCGGCUAAUUUUCUAUAUUUUUAGUAGAGAUGGGGUUUCAUCAUGUUGGCCAGGCUGGUCUCCAACUCCUGACCUCAAGCCAUAUACUGGCCUCGGCCUCCCUAAUUGCUGGGAUUACAGGUAUGAACCUCCGUGCCUGGCCAGGAAUCUGCAUUUUUGCUAGUAACCCUGGUCAUCUCAGUGCACACCAAAGUUUGAAACCACUGUUGGGGUGUGGAGUUCUUGCUUCCAGACUUCCAGGGCCUGUGGAUUGAACAACAGCAACCACAGUAGCAAUUAGGAUUUUCAGUCUGAAAAACAAGCCUGCCACGCAACAAGGGUUUUCUCCCGUUUUACAGAUGAGGGACCUGAGGCUUCAUGAGGCUGUUAUUGACCUGAGGUCGCACAGCUGAUGGCUCCUGGGUUCUUAGCGUUAAGUUUUGCAGCCUUAUUUCUGUCGUAUAUUUGUUUCUCAUAUUUCUGUGUUUCUUGCAGUGCAAUUGUGAUAUCCUCUAAAAGCCAAGGAUGAACUCACUGCUGACCUUGGUUUCAUUUGUUUGUUUGUUUUCACCUUUUCUUGUGAAAUGUGCAAACAUACUCAAGAGAAUCAUAUGGCGAUUUCUUAUAGUCCCCUUUGGCCAGCUUCCGCAAAGAUGACAUUUUGGCACUCUUACUCUAUCCAUUUCUCUCACCCCACCCCCAACAUAAACACAUGUUCUUUCUGGAAUAUUUUCAAGCAAAUACAGGAUUUUUAAAAACAUGU